Molecule: ribosomal RNA, 403 nt
Filed under: uncultured Alphaproteobacteria bacterium
Lineage: Bacteria; Pseudomonadati; Pseudomonadota; Alphaproteobacteria
Description: bacterial SSU rRNA
Rfam family: Bacterial small subunit ribosomal RNA
Source: RNAcentral
UCGAACGACUUGUUGGGUGCUUGCACCUAACAGGGAGUGGCGGACGGGUGAGUAACACGUGGGAACGUACCUUUCAGUGGGGGAUAACUUUGGGAAACCAAAGCUAAUACCGCAUACGCCCUUAGGGGGAAAGAUUUAUUGCUGAAAGAGCGGCCCGCGGUAGAUUAGGUAGUUGGUGGGGUAAAGGCCUACCAAGCCUUCGAUCUAUAGCUGUUCUGAGAGGAAGAUCAGCCACACUGGGACUGAGACACGGCCCAGACUCCUACGGGAGGCAGCAGUGGGGAAUAUUGGACAAUGGGGGAAACCCUGAUCCAGCAAUGCCGCGUGAGUGAAGAAGGCCUUAGGGUUGUAAAGCUCUUUUGGUGGGGACGAUGAUGACGGUACCCACAGAAUAAGCACCGGC